Molecule: transfer RNA, 64 nt
Organism: Cavia porcellus (domestic guinea pig)
Lineage: Eukaryota; Metazoa; Chordata; Mammalia; Rodentia; Caviidae
Rfam family: tRNA
About the family: Transfer RNA (tRNA) molecules are approximately 80 nucleotides in length. Their secondary structure includes four short double-helical elements and three loops (D, anti-codon, and T loops).
Source: Rfam
GGGGAUUUAGCUCAGCGGCAUAAGCGCCUGCCUUGAAAGCAGGCAGUCGUGAGUUCAAUCCCCA